Molecule: ribosomal RNA, 866 nt
Filed under: uncultured marine bacterium
Lineage: Bacteria
Description: bacterial SSU rRNA
Rfam family: Bacterial small subunit ribosomal RNA
Source: RNAcentral
GCAUGCAAGUCGAACGAGAACGGUUCCUUCGGGAACCAAGUAAAGUGGCGGACGGGUGAGUAAUACAUAGACAACUUACCCCCGAGACGGGGACAACCACUCGAAAGGGUGGCUAAUACCCGAUACUGCCUGGAGUCGGUGGAUUCCAGGUGAAAGAUGGCCUCUGUUUCAAGCUUUCACUCGAGGAGGGGUUUAUGUCCUAUUAGCUAGUUGGUGAGGUAACGGCUCACCAAGGCGACGAUGGGUAGCCGGCCUGAGAGGGUGACCGGUCACACUGGGACUGAGACACUGCCCAGACUCCUACGGGAGGCUGCAGUCGAGAAUCUUCCGCAAUGCGCGCAAGCGUGACGGGGCGACGCCGCGUGGGUGAUGAAGGCCUUCGGGUUGUAAAACCCUGUUACCUACUAUGAACAAUUGGUGGUGAAUAGCCAGCCAAGCUGACGUAAGUAGGAGAGGAAGCACCGGCUAAAUACGUGCCAGCAGCCGCGGUAAUACGUAUGGUGCGAACGUUAUUCGGAAUUACUGGGCAUAAAGGGCGCGUAGGCGGUUUGGUAAGUCUGUAUGUGAAAUCCCUCGGCUUAACCGAGGAACUGCAUCGGAUACUGCCAGACUAGAGUGCAGGAGGGGAGAGCGGAAUUCCUGGUGGAGCGGUGAAAUGCGUAGAUAUCAGGAGGAACGCCAGUGGCGAGAGCGGCUCUCUGGCCUGCAACUGACGCUGAGGCGCGAAAGCUAGGGGAGCAAACGGGAUUAGAUACCCCGGUAGUCCUAGCCCUAAACGAUGGGCACUAGGUAGAGGAAGUUUUAGAGCUUUCUCUGCUGUAGCUAAUGUAUUAAGUGCCCCGCCUGGGGAGUAUGGUCGCAAGGCU